This 511-nucleotide long non-coding RNA is filed under the name Salmo salar (Atlantic salmon). Its description in RNAcentral is "lncRNA (ENSSSAG00000106344.1, ENSSSAG00075043354.1)". The record is from RNAcentral. Lineage: Eukaryota; Metazoa; Chordata; Actinopteri; Salmoniformes; Salmonidae.
ACAAACUCCUCCAUCCGGGGGGACAGCUGGGGGCGUUGUGAUCUUGGCUGCGAGGGCGUCUCUCACACACGGCACAGCUGCUGAUGUGGCCGAGGAUUUCGCCCCCCGACACGGGCAUCAUGGGCACGGCCGCAGAGGUGGAGAGCCAGUAGGACUUACCGUUGCGUCUGGCGUAGUCACAGGUGUAGCAGAAGGGCAUGGUGCUGAAGACUUGCAUACACAAGCCUGCCUGGCUUGUGUCUCCCUGGGGGCCCUCGCAACCCAGCAGGACCCUUAAGACCCAGGAGAGGACACAAACACCACAAUCAGUCAGUGUGAAGGAAGAUAAUGUCACGUGUGGAGUCGCCAGAGCCGCCCGCCAGUCAGGAGUCGCCAGAGCCGCCCGCCAAUCAGGAGUCGCCAGAGCCGCCCGCCAGUCAGGAGUCGCCAGAGCCGCCCGCCAGUCAGGAGUCGCCAGAGCCGCCCGCCAAUCAGGAGUCGCCAGAGCCGCCCGCCAGUCAGGAGUCGCCAG